RNAcentral lists this ribosomal RNA (435 nucleotides) under uncultured bacterium. RNAcentral describes it as "partial 16S ribosomal RNA". It matches the Rfam family "Bacterial small subunit ribosomal RNA", at positions 29 to 507 of the family's 1533-position model. The record is from RNAcentral.
AGCGAACGCUGGCGGCAGGCUUAACACAUGCAAGUCGAGCGGGCACUUUCGGGUGUCAGCGGCGGACGGGUGCGUAACGCGUGGGAACGUGCCCUCUGGUUCGGAAUAACUCAGGGAAACUUGAGCUAAUACCGGAUACGCCCUUUUGGGGAAAGGCUUGCUGCCGGAGGAUCGGCCCGCGACUGAUUAGCUAGUUGGUGAGGUAACGGCUCACCAAGGCGACGAUCAGUAGCUGGUCUGAGAGGAUGAUCAGCCACACUGGGACUGAGACACGGCCCAGACUCCUACGGGAGGCAGCAGUGGGGAAUAUUGGACAAUGGGCGCAAGCCUGAUCCAGCCAUGCCGCGUGAGUGAUCAAGGCCUUAGGGUUGUAAAGCUCUUUUAUCCGGGACGAUAAUGACGGUACCGGAGGAAUAAGCCCCGGCUAACUUCGUG